This 249-nucleotide ribosomal RNA is filed under the name uncultured bacterium. RNAcentral describes it as "partial 16S ribosomal RNA". It matches the Rfam family "Bacterial small subunit ribosomal RNA", at positions 15 to 253 of the family's 1533-position model. The record is from RNAcentral.
GAUCAUGGCUCAGGAUGAACGCUAGCUACAGGCUUAACACAUGCAAGUCGGAGGGGCAGCAUUUUAGUUUGCUUGCAAACUAAAGAUGGCGACCGGCGCACGGGUGAGUAACACGUAUCCAACCUGCCGAUAACUCGGGGAUAGCCUUUCGAAAGAAAGAUUAAUAUCCGAUAGUAUAUUUUCUCCGCAUGGUGAGAAUAUUAAAGAAUUUCGGUUAUCGAUGGGGAUGCGUUCCAUUAGUUUGUUGGG